AUGCUUGCUUCGGUAGCACAUAUACUGAAACUGGAAUGAUACAGAAAAGGUUAGGAUGGCCCCUGCACAAGGAAGACAUGCAAUUUCGUUAAACAUUCUAUAUUUUA
Vombatus ursinus (common wombat) is the source of this 107-nucleotide small nuclear RNA. Lineage: Eukaryota; Metazoa; Chordata; Mammalia; Diprotodontia; Vombatidae. The record is from Ensembl.